RNAcentral lists this long non-coding RNA (1907 nucleotides) under Scleropages formosus (Asian bonytongue). RNAcentral describes it as "lncRNA (ENSSFOG00015025144.1)". Lineage: Eukaryota; Metazoa; Chordata; Actinopteri; Osteoglossiformes; Osteoglossidae. The record is from RNAcentral.
CUCUAAGAAAGAGUUGCACUGCAUAGACAAGAGCUGUUAUUUUAUGGAAUGAUUGUCUAAAUCUUUUAACCUAAUGUUCAAUUAAAGAUAUAACUUUUGUUUUUAGCUUCAGUGAAAUUGAUCAGUACAAACAAACAUAGUUUUUAGCAUAAAAAGACAAAAUGUUAUUUAAAUCACAAUACAUCUCAAUGAAUUUCUAUAUUUUUAUGAUUUCAGAUUAAAAGUGUUAACCAAUAUUCAACUAAUAAAACACCUUUCUGCUUUUGAAAAAAAAUGGCAUGGCAGGGGGAGUGAGGGCAUGGCAUGCCAUGCUUCUGGGGGAAAAAAUUACCCCCCAAAAGGGCGAAGUCAUUUAGAACCAACAUUCACAUAAAACUUAGGUGUGAUAAAGGUAAAAGCUGAAAAAUCUGACACUUGUAUUCAUAACAAAUCACUGGUUUUUUGAUGUGCCUUUCGAUAAUUAUUCCCACAUAUGGCUAACUGCAACCAGAGUCUCAUUUACUCUUAGUGUUUUGCAAUGAUUCUUUCGAAAAAAUAAAAGCAGUAAAAGUACUGAGUAAAACAGUGAAAGUAAAAAGAAAAGUAAAAAGAGUAAAAGUAAAAUAUUAUAGUGUGUAUUAUUAUAUUCUGUUUCCUCUGGUUUUGCAUUGUGUUGCUGGGAGGGAUUCGCUGCCCUACAGUUAAUGCCACUGUUGUAAGCACAUCUCAUAUGAUAAUAAAGAACAUGAGGAUCUUCCAUGAGUUGCCUGUUGUCACGGUAACAGAAUGUUUACACUUAUACAAACUCACAGAAAUUGCCUGGGCAACCAAAAUGUUUAUAUAGCUACAGAAUUUUGCCAUGCAAUAUUCAUAUUGGCCCCUGUUGAAGAAGGCUCUCACAACUCAUGGUCCUUUUCAUAACAGACCUCCAGCAUGGAUUUUCUCUGUCUACUUUACCCAGUAUUAUCCCUGAAGUACUUUACACCGUUGAUAUGUGUUGUUGGCUUAGUGAUUGCUGCAGCUAGCUCAAUUCUCAUCUGCACGAGACUCCAAGGCACCCAGCACCUUAUCCAAGGGAAACCUGAUGAACACGGUGAUCAGACCAAGGUGCCUGCUCCAGAGAGUGCUGACAAGCCUGCUGAGGACAUCUCUGGGGAAGCCUCUUUGGAUACCUCUGAAGAGCCUGCUCCAGGCAACAUCGAGGGGCCCGCUCUUGGCAUAUUUGAGGAACCCGCUUUGGGCAUCUUCGAGGAGCCAACUCUAGCCACCCAAACCCCACUCCAAGAAGACUUCUAUGAACAUGCUGACCUGGUGGAGUUCCUUCCCCAAGAAUAUCAGGGAGUCUCCCAGUCUGGGCACCUUUAAAUCCAGGCUCAAGAUCCACAUGUUCACAUCGCUUUCUGAUAAUACAUUUAAAUGCUCCAUUUGUCCUUUCAUUUGUUUGACUAAUAUUUUAUCUUCAUAAAAUGUUGCUGCUUUUGUUUCAUUAUUUACAUUUAUUAAUUUAGCUGACGUGUCAGUUUUGGGUACAUUCAAUCUUGUUCAAAGCCGAAAAGCCAUUUCCAAUUCAAUAUCCUUUAUUAAAUGUCACCAAGUUUUGCAGUUAAUUUUGGAGACAUAAUUAAAUUUACUUUAAGACCACCCACUGCUGCCCUGUGCUCUUUUAUUUCAUCGGUCUUCAUUGCUUGUUGCUUCAAAUCUGCCGUCAAAACUGCCCACCUCUCACCAUUAAAGCGCUGUUCUAUGGACCCACACUCAGUGUAAAACUGUAGACCCUACUUCCUUCUCUCUGUCCAAACCUCAAGUGUACUCUUUACAGUUAGUGACAUUCUUGCCCAGAAUGAUUGCUCUGAGGGGUAUCAGUAUCAGUCCAUUUUCAAGAUCAUUUUCCCAAAACUACAAAGUUCUUCACUGAUGGCCAGUAGUAG